This 1053-nucleotide long non-coding RNA is filed under the name Astyanax mexicanus (Mexican tetra). RNAcentral describes it as "lncRNA (ENSAMXG00005001714.1)". Lineage: Eukaryota; Metazoa; Chordata; Actinopteri; Characiformes; Acestrorhamphidae. The record is from RNAcentral.
AUAAAAGUUGUCAGUAGCAGAGGGAAGCAUGAAGUGCUGUAAGAUUUCUCAGGAAAACCAAACUGCACUGACUUUAGACUUGAUAAUAAAACACACUGGAUCAACACCAGCAGAUGACAUGUCUCUCCAAUUUGUAGGAUAACGUCCUGCAUGAAGGAAAGCUUUUGAGGGAGGUGAACAGUCUUUCUGAGAAGAACCACCAGUUAAAGAACAAGAAGAGCGUGAGCGACGCUGCAAAUCUCAGCAAGAUCAAAUCUUCGAGCUGAAGCAAGAGCUCACAAACUCCACUGCAGAGCUGAAACUACGCUUAGCCCAGGCUGAAGAGCGCUUGGACAUGGAGAAGAGAAGAGCCAAGCAGGCUCUUGAAGACAUGGACAGUUUACGGCAGAAAGAGGUAGAUCACAUUAACAGGCAUCUGGAAGAAAGUGAGAGAGCACUACAAGAUCGUAUUCUCAAACUGGAGGGUCAGCGGAUCCAGCUGGAGGAGGCAAGAUUAAAUCACCUUUUAGAACUUUUGACCUGGACUAAAUGCUUUAUGAGAGAGACAGGAUUUACUUAGUUUUGAGCUGACCAUCUUGCUUUAUUUUCACGCAGGAGCUGAGCCGAGUGAAGGCCGCUAUAGUGACGGAGAGAGCACAGGCAGAGGAAGAGCUCGGGAAAGUGAGAACGCAAGUGCGGCUGGAGGAGGUACAGAGCUCCACCAAUAGAGCUGAAUUACCCCUAUAGACUGAUAUAGGCUAAAUGUGUGGGGCUAAAGUGCUGUAGGCUGGAAAGGAGUCAAGGGUCAAUAUUUAAUUGAAGAUUGUAUAGCUCUGGAGCAAAAAUAAGAGAUCACUUCAGUUUCUAAAACAUUUGUUGUUUUAUUCUAUAAACUAAACACAACAUUUCUACCAAAUUCCAAAUACAAAUAUUGUCAUUUAUAUAGAGCAUUUAUAUGCAGAAGAUGAGAAAUGGCUGAAAUAACAAAAAAGAUGCAGAGCUUUCAGACCUUAUAUAAUGCAAAGAAAACAAGUUCAUAUUCAUCAAGUUUGAGAGUUGAGAAAUCAAUAUUUG